Molecule: long non-coding RNA, 134 nt
Organism: Nicotiana attenuata
Lineage: Eukaryota; Viridiplantae; Streptophyta; Magnoliopsida; Solanales; Solanaceae
Exons: 3
Source: RefSeq, a predicted model, not a curated record
UGGAAGGAUGACAACAAUCAUAAAUACACAAGGCAAACAGGUCGAAGAGACAGGUGCAUGGGGCGUGGCUUCCACGUUGGCUGGCAGUUCGUUGGAGUCACUACCAGUCUCUUUUGGAGAAGCAUUGGCAAGAA